AUCAAGACUAGAAUCACGCUUGGGUAUUGGCUAUUGCCUUAGUGUGCUAGAGUUUUCAAAGAGCAGCCACUGACCUUAUUCACUGGUGGUGGGCUUUAUGGCACAGAAGUCACCAGGUUAGUGAUAUGC
Molecule: small nucleolar RNA, 129 nt
Filed under: Carlito syrichta (Philippine tarsier)
Lineage: Eukaryota; Metazoa; Chordata; Mammalia; Primates; Tarsiidae
Description: Small nucleolar RNA SNORA3/SNORA45 family (ENSTSYG00000023315.2)
Rfam family: Small nucleolar RNA SNORA3/SNORA45 family
About the family: The members of this family belong to the H/ACA class of snoRNAs which are thought to guide the sites of modification of uridines to pseudouridines. This family includes mouse snoMBI-28 and human homologues ACA3 (SNORA3) and ACA3-2 (SNORA45).
Source: Rfam by way of RNAcentral